This is a long non-coding RNA of Esox lucius (northern pike), 958 nucleotides long. RefSeq lists it as uncharacterized. The record is from RefSeq and is a predicted model, not a curated record. The transcript has 3 exons. Lineage: Eukaryota; Metazoa; Chordata; Actinopteri; Esociformes; Esocidae.
AACAUAAUUUGUAUUGGACAAAUUCAAAUGGUCUAUCUGCGUUUUGCUCUGUUUUGUUCCAUUCUAUCCAACUUGUAUUUGUGGAAAGUUCCACAGGCAAACAGAAAAGUUUAUUAUAUCAAAACCCGUUCGUGAUCGGCAAAAACACUUGUAAACAAAGGGCGUCCUGUAACAGUGUAUCCCUAACCAACCAUCUCCCUACCGUGUUGUGAUCAAGAGAAACUGCUGUACACACAGAGCCCAGGUCUAAUCUGGGGAGAAGCAGCAUCCAGAAUAUAUUAGAGGAAAGUGGUGAACCCAUUUAAUUUCUCAUGGUGAGGAAAACAGCGAGUGUUGUCACACUGAGGAGCAGUUCUCCCGGUCUGUGUGUCUACAACCUGGACUAAGAUGGUGCCACAAGUGACUGGACAGUAAAUAUUAUUGUUGAGUUUGAGUUCCAAUCAGUUUUAUCCCACUGGCCACUUUAACAUUAGUCCUGGAUCUCUGUCAUUUGUUUGAGCCUCUCUCCUUUCCUCUGUCCCCUCUCUUUUAUGUGCUCUGGGUAACAUACUGCCGUCAUCUUUUGUUUUACCACCCAGCUGUUAACAUCAUCCACAUCUCUCCUCAUCCUGUCUUCUGUGCGGCCGUGUGUCAAAUCCAUCAGUGCUCGCAUCAAUACAGAGUUUACAGUCAUUGACCCGCAGAUGAAACACUGAAGUAGCUUUUUUAUUACUUAUUCAAUUUGCUUGUGACGUAUCGUCCUGCAUGCUUUUGAUAAAAAGCACUGAUAAAAUACACGUAUAUAUGGCCUUUUUUUGCAGGGUCUCUGCAAUUCAUAGAAAUUGCACAAUCUCCGCACAAAUCUCUGUUUGUGCGAGAGGAUGUGAAUGUGUACGUGUUUUGGCAAGUCGUGACUAUGGUUGUGUGUGCCAAGAACAACACAGAGAGUUAGAGGGCCUUCCAUGAGUAGAAAUCUAGA